AGCGAACGCUGGCGGCAGGCCUAACACAUGCAAGUCGAGCGCCCCGCGAGGGGAGCGGCAGACGGGAGAGUAACACGUGGGAACGUACCCUUUGGUUCGGAACAACCCAGGGAAACUUGGGCUAAUACCGAAUAAGCCCUUACGGGGAAAGAUUUAUCGCCGAAGGAUCGGCCCACGUCUGAUUAGCUAGUUGGUGAGGUGACGGCUCACCAAGGCGACGAUCAGUAGCUGGUCUGAGAGGAUGAUCAGCCUCACUGGGACUGAGACACGGCCCAGACUCCUACGGGAGGCAGCAGUGGGGAAUAUUGGACAAUGGGCGCAAGCCUGAUCCAGCCAUGCCGCGUGGGUGAUGAAGGCCCUAGGGUUGUAAAGCCCUUUCGGCGGGGAAGAUAAUGACGGUACCCGCAGAAGAAGCCCCGGCUAACUUCGUGCCAGCCGCCGCAGUAC
This 447-nucleotide ribosomal RNA is filed under the name uncultured bacterium. Its description in RNAcentral is "partial 16S ribosomal RNA". It matches the Rfam family "Bacterial small subunit ribosomal RNA", at positions 29 to 523 of the family's 1533-position model. The record is from RNAcentral.